Ictalurus punctatus (channel catfish) is the source of this 1035-nucleotide long non-coding RNA. Lineage: Eukaryota; Metazoa; Chordata; Actinopteri; Siluriformes; Ictaluridae. The record is from Ensembl.
CUAGAACGUCUUAAACGAUGGCUAGAGAUCAUUUUCACUUAGCUUUCUUACUAGCUGUUAUUUUCAUACAUCAGUUAGUUUUAAGGCUGAGAAAAGACAACAAAUUGCUAAUAUAUCACGUUAUCAAAAGGGAAAGAGAUUUCUGUAAUAUAUAGCUAGACGGGGUACUCGGUUAGCGUUAGUUAGCUGGUUAGCAAGCAGAGUUUAAGCUAGUUAUCAGUCACAAGUAAACCAAAAGACACUGGUCAAAAGAGAUGGAGACGACCCGUUAUACUGUCACAUCCCACAAUGCCGUGCAAGAUGAGUGAUAUGAUAUGACGGGAGCCUGGAGCUUGUCCCAGGGAACUCGGGGCACAAGAUGGAGGACAAACUGGACGGGCACAAUCACACACAUAGUCACACACCCAUUCGCACACUACGGACAAUAUCGGAAAUGCCUAUCAGCCUACAACGCAUGACUUUGAACUAGGGGAGGAAACCGGAGUACCGGAGGAAACCCUCGAAAGCAGGAUUCGAUUCCCCAACCCCGAAAGUCCGAGGCAACGUGCUAAAAUAAUGAUUGACUGCAUGGCCCAGACCUCUGUUACCACUAAGCUGAUCAUUUUCCAAUAUCAGUACAUCCUGAAAUGUUUUGUUCCAUGCAUAGUACAACAAUUCACCACCAAUUUUUACAGUGAAAAUCUAGCUUCAUUUCCUGUUGUGGAACUUCCACAAAACAGGUUGGUUCCUGUUAUCCUGUUAACCGUUCCUAUUUUUCUUUCUCAUCUUACAGAGAAACCGCAAAGUGUCGGAAAAUUUAAAGCUAAAGCUUUACCUCUGACUUUUAUUACUGGAGACUCCUUCCAAAAAAAAAAAAAUGGUGAAUAAACAUUUCCUCACAGAAAACUUCACCAUAUCGACAAUUACACAAGGGUUUUCUGAAAGAGCUUCCGCAGAGUUAGGCAAAGAAAAACAAAGGUUGUCCACUUUAGAAAACAGUGAGUCAUUUGGGAGUCUAAAGAGUCGACUCAUGUUGAACUGACUCACCGAAAUGAG